CUAACGUUGGUGUUUAGCACUUUAAGCUUUCUACUUGACAGAGUUCCUUUUUGGAACACGUUAGA
RNAcentral lists this transfer RNA (65 nucleotides) under Crassiplana albatrossi. RNAcentral's name for it is "tRNA-Glu". Lineage: Eukaryota; Metazoa; Platyhelminthes; Polycladida; Callioplanidae. The record is from RNAcentral.